AUGAGACCCAGAUAGCAGCUGAUUCCGGGGCGGAUCCGCCCUCAGGUCGCUAGAUCCGCCCUCAGGUCGCCAGGUCGCUAGAUCCGCCCGCAGGUCGCUAGAUCCGCCCUACUGCCGCACUCGGUUUGGUCAUGUGAACCGGAUCCACCCGCAUCUGCAUCCGGUUCACACAGCGGCGGUUGUUCUAAAUCGUUGCUCCUCUGACUUCUGCGCCUCGACUUUCCAAACUGGAAUUUUCAAACCUGCAGCUCUUCGCGCCAGACAUAUUACUUAGUUUUACAGAAGUGUUCAUCAGGAUCGAUCUCUACAAUUCAGGAUGUUCCAUCUGAUUGAAUUCUUGGACAGCAAAACAGUAGCAGUCGUGCCACAAAGCUGGUACAGUGGUGGUGGCUGCGUUUGGCCAGAUUACCCGAGGGAUGAAAGGGUGGACAAGGCGGUCCGAAGUGCCGAAGAA
Long non-coding RNA from Pseudoliparis swirei, 454 nucleotides. RefSeq lists it as uncharacterized. Lineage: Eukaryota; Metazoa; Chordata; Actinopteri; Perciformes; Liparidae. The transcript is spliced from 4 exons. The record is from RefSeq and is a predicted model, not a curated record.